GUUGGGUACGGAGACAUCUACCCCAAAACUCUCCUGGGGAAAAUCGUUGGUGGUCUCUGCUGCAUUGCGGGGGUCCUGGUGAUUGCUCUUCCCAUCCCCAUCAUCGUCAAUAAC
Non-coding RNA from Fukomys damarensis (Damara mole-rat), 114 nucleotides. The record is from Rfam. NCBI's taxonomy places the organism in Eukaryota, Metazoa, Chordata, Mammalia, Rodentia, Bathyergidae.